UUUAUGGAGAGUUUGAUCCUGGCUCAGGAUGAACGCUGGCGGCGUGCCUAAUACAUGCAAGUCGAGCGAACGGACGAGAAGCUUGCUUCUCUGAUGUUAGCGGCGGACGGGUGAGUAACACGUGGAUAACCUACCUAUAAGACUGGGAUAACUUCGGGAAACCGGAGCUAAUACCGGAUAAUAUUUUGAACCGCAUGGUUCAAAAGUGAAAGACGGUCUUGCUGUCACUUAUAGAUGGAUCCGCGCUGCAUUAGCUAGUUGGUAAGGUAACGGCUUACCAAGGCAACGAUGCAUAGCCGACCUGAGAGGGUGAUCGGCCACACUGGAACUGAGACACGGUCCAGACUCCUACGGGAGGCAGCAGUAGGGAAUCUUCCGCAAUGGGCGAAAGCCUGACGGAGCAACGCCGCGUGAGUGAUGAAGGUCUUCGGAUCGUAAAACUCUGUUAUUAGGGAAGAACAUAUGUGUAAGUAACUGUGCACAUCUUGACGGUACCUAAUCAGAAAGCCACGGCUAACUACGUGCCAGCAGCCGCGGUAAUACGUAGGUGGCAAGCGUUAUCCGGAAUUAUUGGGCGUAAAGCGCGCGUAGGCGGUUUUUUAAGUCUGAUGUGAAAGCCCACGGCUCAACCGUGGAGGGUCAUUGGAAACUGGAAAACUUGAGUGCAGAAGAGGAAAGUGGAAUUCCAUGUGUAGCGGUGAAAUGCGCAGAGAUAUGGAGGAACACCAGUGGCGAAGGCGACUUUCUGGUCUGUAACUGACGCUGAUGUGCGAAAGCGUGGGGAUCAAACAGGAUUAGAUACCCUGGUAGUCCACGCCGUAAACGAUGAGUGCUAAGUGUUAGGGGGUUUCCGCCCCUUAGUGCUGCAGCUAACGCAUUAAGCACUCCGCCUGGGGAGUACGACCGCAAGGUUGAAACUCAAAGGAAUUGACGGGGACCCGCACAAGCGGUGGAGCAUGUGGUUUAAUUCGAAGCAACGCGAAGAACCUUACCAAAUCUUGACAUCCUUUGACAACUCUAGAGAUAGAGCCUUCCCCUUCGGGGGACAAAGUGACAGGUGGUGCAUGGUUGUCGUCAGCUCGUGUCGUGAGAUGUUGGGUUAAGUCCCGCAACGAGCGCAACCCUUAAGCUUAGUUGCCAUCAUUAAGUUGGGCACUCUAAGUUGACUGCCGGUGACAAACCGGAGGAAGGUGGGGAUGACGUCAAAUCAUCAUGCCCCUUAUGAUUUGGGCUACACACGUGCUACAAUGGACAAUACAAAGGGCAGCGAAACCGCGAGGUCAAGCAAAUCCCAUAAAGUUGUUCUCAGUUCGGAUUGUAGUCUGCAACUCGACUACAUGAAGCUGGAAUCGCUAGUAAUCGUAGAUCAG
This 1370-nucleotide ribosomal RNA is filed under the name Staphylococcus aureus. RNAcentral describes it as "bacterial SSU rRNA". It matches the Rfam family "Bacterial small subunit ribosomal RNA", at positions 1 to 1352 of the family's 1533-position model. The record is from RNAcentral. Lineage: Bacteria; Bacillati; Bacillota; Bacilli; Caryophanales; Staphylococcaceae.